UGCUCUUGGCCUUGAGAGAUUCAUAAUGCUGAACUGGGAGCUAUAAGAUUCGUGCCAGGCAGGUUCCCCAUCUGCAAAUCAGAUGAAUUGGCCAAGACGGACAGGGAACUGCAGGUUGCAGAGAAAGCCAGAGAGAAGGGACUUAUACUGCGAUCCUGAGCUGGGUGAAAAGGUGGGGUGAUCUGAUGAGACAGGGGCCGUGGCUCUUCCCAGGUGGAGCUCCAUAUCACACCCACACCAAC
RNAcentral lists this long non-coding RNA (242 nucleotides) under Homo sapiens (human). RNAcentral describes it as "non-protein coding lnc-STX2-15:1". The record is from RNAcentral. Lineage: Eukaryota; Metazoa; Chordata; Mammalia; Primates; Hominidae.